UACGAAGGGGGCGAGCGUUGUUCGGAAUCACUGGGCGUAAAGGGCGCGUAGGCGGCCCUCCUUGUCGCGUGUGAAAGCCCCGGGCUCAACCUGGGAACGGCGCGCGAGACGGGGGGGCUGGAGUUCGGGAGAGGAGCGUGGAAUUCCCAGUGUAGAGGUGAAAUGCGUAGAUACUGGGAGGAACACCAGUGGCGAAGGCGGCUACCUGGACCGGUUCUGACGCUGAGGCGCGAAAGCGUGGGUAGCAAACAGG
This 253-nucleotide ribosomal RNA is filed under the name uncultured bacterium. RNAcentral's name for it is "partial 16S ribosomal RNA". It matches the Rfam family "Bacterial small subunit ribosomal RNA", at positions 524 to 776 of the family's 1533-position model. The record is from RNAcentral.